RNAcentral lists this long non-coding RNA (991 nucleotides) under Homo sapiens (human). RNAcentral's name for it is "non-protein coding lnc-GAS1-3:2". The record is from RNAcentral. Lineage: Eukaryota; Metazoa; Chordata; Mammalia; Primates; Hominidae.
AUGUCCACAGAAGGAGGAUUUGGUGGUACUAGCCGCAGUGAUGCCCAGCAAAGCCUAAAGUCCUUCUGGCUUCGGGUCAUGGAAGAAAUCUGGAAUUUAGCAGUGAAAGAUUUCUGAAUGCAGGAACUCCCACUGGCUCGUAUUAAGAAGAUUAUGAAACUGGAUGAAGAUGUGAAGAUGAUCAGUGCAGAGGCCCCUGUGCUCUUUGCCAGGGCAGCCCAGAUUUUUUAUCACAGAGUUGACUCUUCGAGCCUGGAUUCACACAGAGGAUAACAACUGCCGGACUUAUGUCGCCAUGGCAAUUACGAAAUUUGAUCAAUUGGAUUUUCUCAUCGAUAUUGUUCUAAGAGAUGAACUGAAACCUCCAAAGUGUCAGGAGGAGGUGCUGCAGUCUGUAACUCCUGCUGAGCCAGUCCAAUACUAUUUCACGCUGGCUCAGCAGCCCACCGCCCGUCCAAGUCCAGGGACAGCAGCAAGGCCAGACCACCGCCAGCUCCAUGACCACCAUGCAGCCUGGGCAGAUCAUCAUCGCACAGCUUCAGCAGGGCCAGACCACGCCCGUGACGACGCAGGUUGGAGAAGGUCAGCAGGUGCAGAUUGUCCAGGCCCAGCCACAGGGUCAAGCCCAGUAGGCCCAGAGUGGUACUGGAUGGACCGUGCAGGUGAUGUAGCAGAUCCUCACUAACACAGGAGAGAUCCAGCAGAUCCCGGUGCAGCUGAAGGCUGGCCAGCUGCAGUGUAUCCGCUUAGCCCAGUCUGUAUCAGGCACCCACGUUCUGCAGGGACAGAUCCAGACACUUGCCACCAGCGCUCAACCGAUUACACAGACAGAGGUCCAGCAAAGACAGCAGUAGUUCAGCCAGUUCACAGAUGGACAGCAGCUCUACCAGAUCCAGCAAGUAUCCAUACCUGCGGGCCAGGACCUGCCCAGCCCAUGUUUUUCCAGUCAGUCAACCAGCCCUCUGAUGGGCAGGCCCCCCGGGUGACUGGC